UACGAAGGGGGCUAGCGUUGCUCGGAAUUACUGGGCGUAAAGGGCUCGUAGGCGGCCAACUAAGUCAGACGUGAAAUCCCUCGGCUUAACCGGGGAACUGCGUCUGAUACUGGAUGGCUUGAAUCCGGGAGAGGGAUGCGGAAUUCCAGGUGUAGCGGUGAAAUGCGUAGAUAUCUGGAGGAACACCGGUGGCGAAGGCGGCAUCCUGGACCGGUAUUGACGCUGAGGCGCGAAAGCCAGGGGAGCAAACGGG
Molecule: ribosomal RNA, 253 nt
Filed under: uncultured bacterium
Lineage: Bacteria
Description: partial 16S ribosomal RNA
Rfam family: Bacterial small subunit ribosomal RNA
Source: RNAcentral